This 253-nucleotide ribosomal RNA is filed under the name uncultured bacterium. Its description in RNAcentral is "partial 16S ribosomal RNA". It matches the Rfam family "Bacterial small subunit ribosomal RNA", at positions 524 to 776 of the family's 1533-position model. The record is from RNAcentral.
UACGGAGGGGGUUAGCGUUGUUCGGAAUUACUGGGCUUAAAGAGCUCGUAGGUGGUUAGAAAAGUUGGUAGUGAAAUCCCAAGGCUUAACCUUGGAACUGCUAUCAAAACUUUUUAGCUAGAGUAUGAUAGAGGUAAGUGGAAUUUCUAGUGUAGAGGUGAAAUUCGUAGAUAUUAGAAAGAACACCAAUUGCGAAGGCAACUUUCUGGAUCAUUACUGACACUGAGGAGCGAAAGCAUGGGUAGCGAAGAGG